RNAcentral lists this ribosomal RNA (414 nucleotides) under uncultured microorganism. RNAcentral's name for it is "bacterial SSU rRNA". It matches the Rfam family "Archaeal small subunit ribosomal RNA", at positions 330 to 745 of the family's 1478-position model. The record is from RNAcentral.
GCGCAGCAGGCGCGAAACCUUCGCAAUGCGGGAAACCGCGACGAGGGGACUCCCAGUGCCUACGCUCAGCGUAGGCUGUUCCCGAGCCUAGAAAGCUCGGGGAGUAAGGGCUGGGUAAGACGGGUGCCAGCCGCCGCGGUAAUACCCGCAGCCCGAGUGGUGGCCACUAUUAUUGGGCCUAAAGCGUCCGUAGCCGGCCCGGUAAAUGCCUGGGUAAAUCGUGAGGCCUAACCUCACGAAUUCCGGGUAGACUGCCGGGCUAGGGGACCGGAGGAGGGAGAGGGUACUCCAGGGGUAGGGGUGAAAUCCUGUAAUCCCUGGAGGACCACCGGUGGCGAAGGCGCUCUCCUAGGACGGGUCCGACGGUGAGGGACGAAAGCCAGGGGAGCGAACCGGAUUAGAUACCCCGGUAGU